UGUUGGCUAUGAGGAUUUCUAAUCACAGCUUCAAUGCCAGUUCUGCUUCUGAAAUUCGUGAUUGUUAGAGCUGUUUAAUGUUCCGAGCCACUC
RNAcentral lists this small nucleolar RNA (93 nucleotides) under Cicer arietinum (chickpea). Lineage: Eukaryota; Viridiplantae; Streptophyta; Magnoliopsida; Fabales; Fabaceae. The record is from RNAcentral.